AGGACGAACGCUGGCGGCGUGCCUAACACAUGCAAGUCGAGCGAGGAGAUUCCUCGGGAUGAUCCUAGCGGCGGACGGGUGAGUAACACGUGGGCAACCUGCCUCAUAGAGAGGAAUAGCCUUCCGAAAGGGAGAUUAAUACCUCAUAACAUUGCAGUUUCGCAUGGAACAGCAAAUUAAAGGAGUAAUCCGCUAUGAGAUGGGCCCGCGGCGCAUUAGCUAGUUGGUGAGGUAAUGGCUCACCAAGGCGACGAUGCGUAGCCGACCUGAGAGGGUGAUCGGCCACAUUGGGACUGAGACACGGCCCAGACUCCUACGGGAGGCAGCAGGUGGGGAAUAUUGCACAAUGGGGGAAACCCUGAUGCAAGCAACGCCGCGUGAGUGAUGACGGCCUUCGGGUUGUAAAGCUCUGUCUUCAGGGACGAUAAUGACGGUACCUGAGGAGGAAGCCACGGCUAACUACGUGCCAGCCGCAGC
This 477-nucleotide ribosomal RNA is filed under the name uncultured bacterium. Its description in RNAcentral is "bacterial SSU rRNA". It matches the Rfam family "Bacterial small subunit ribosomal RNA", at positions 26 to 518 of the family's 1533-position model. The record is from RNAcentral.